AGAAAUUUAGGUUAAUAAGACCAAGAGCCUUCAAAGCCCUUAGUAAGUAAAUUUUACUUAAUUUCUG
RNAcentral lists this transfer RNA (67 nucleotides) under Cebus albifrons (white-fronted capuchin). Its description in RNAcentral is "tRNA-Trp". The record is from RNAcentral. Lineage: Eukaryota; Metazoa; Chordata; Mammalia; Primates; Cebidae. RNAcentral also lists the same sequence under 4 other names.